GAUUAUUUUGACGUGUUCAUUUUAUUUUUUCGAGCAUUUUGGUGCCCGACUUUUUUUUUUUUUUAGUCUAUUUAUUUUUAUAUUGGGUCUAGAAUAAAUAAAUAGGUUAAUUAGUUUUUAUUUUAAUUUUAACUAUUUUAAUUAUUUAACUUUAUUCAGUUUUUAAUUUAAUAUUGGGUUUCAAAAUAAACUUAGGUCCAUUA
Molecule: long non-coding RNA, 203 nt
Filed under: Lathyrus oleraceus (garden pea)
Lineage: Eukaryota; Viridiplantae; Streptophyta; Magnoliopsida; Fabales; Fabaceae
Description: Pisum sativum (pea) long non-coding RNA (PSAT_LNC028253)
Source: RNAcentral